Molecule: long non-coding RNA, 222 nt
Organism: Octodon degus (degu)
Lineage: Eukaryota; Metazoa; Chordata; Mammalia; Rodentia; Octodontidae
Exons: 2
Source: RefSeq, a predicted model, not a curated record
CAGAGAAGCAGCCGGCUGCUCCUUGCAGGAUCCUCUUGGGGAGCAGCUGAGGGUGACACAAACAGAUUUGUAGAGGAGGAAGCCAAGGUUCUGGGCAGCCCAUAUCUUGGUUGAAAAUGACAGUGGAGCCAGCCUCUCAUACCAGUGGGAUCUUCAUCCAGCAAGUCAUCCAACCUUGGAUCAAACAUUUGUAGUAGGAAAAAUAAAUUGUGCUUUACUGAG